This 229-nucleotide ribosomal RNA is filed under the name Klebsiella quasipneumoniae. RNAcentral's name for it is "partial 23S ribosomal RNA". It matches the Rfam family "Bacterial large subunit ribosomal RNA", at positions 1185 to 1415 of the family's 2925-position model. The record is from RNAcentral. Lineage: Bacteria; Pseudomonadati; Pseudomonadota; Gammaproteobacteria; Enterobacterales; Enterobacteriaceae.
AGCCAGUUACCGAAGCUGCGGAUGCAUCGCAAGAUGCGUGGUAGGAGAGCGUUCUGUAAGCCUGUGAAGGUGGGUUGUGAAGCCUGCUGGAGGUAUCAGAAGUGCGAAUGCUGACAUGAGUAGCGUUAAAGGGGGUGAAAAGCCCCCUCGCCGAAAGCGCAAGGUUUCCUACGCAACGUUCAUCGGCGUAGGGUGAGUCGGCCCCUAAGGCGAGGCAGAGAUGCGUAGC